UACGAAGGGGGCUAGCGUUGCUCGGAAUCACUGGGCGUAAAGGGUGCGUAGGCGGGUCUUUAAGUCAGGGGGGAAAUCCUGGAGCUCAACUCCAGAACUGCCUUUGAUACUGAAGAUCUUGAGUUCGGGAGAGGUGAGUGGAAUUGCGAGUGUAGAGGUGAAAUUCGUAGAUAUUCGCAAGAACACCAGUGGCGAAGGCGGCUCACUGGCCCGAUACUGACGCUGAGGCACGAAAGCGUGGGGAGCAAACAGG
This 253-nucleotide ribosomal RNA is filed under the name uncultured bacterium. Its description in RNAcentral is "partial 16S ribosomal RNA". It matches the Rfam family "Bacterial small subunit ribosomal RNA", at positions 524 to 776 of the family's 1533-position model. The record is from RNAcentral.